RNAcentral lists this ribosomal RNA (253 nucleotides) under uncultured bacterium. RNAcentral's name for it is "partial 16S ribosomal RNA". It matches the Rfam family "Bacterial small subunit ribosomal RNA", at positions 524 to 776 of the family's 1533-position model. The record is from RNAcentral.
UACGAAGGGGGCUAGCGUUGCUCGGAAUCACUGGGCGUAAAGGGUGCGUAGGCGGGUUUUUAAGUCAGGGGUGAAAUCCUGGAGCUCAACUCCAGAACUGCCUUUGAUACUGAAGAUCUUGAGUCCGGGAGAGGUGAGUGGAACUGCGAGUGUAGAGGUGAAAUUCGUAGAUAUUCGCAGGAACACCAGUGGCGAAGGCGGCUUACUGGUCCAUUACUGACGCUGAGGUGCGAAAGCGUGGGGAGCAAACAGG